AAUAGAUACCCUGGUAGUCCAUGCCGUAAACGUUGGGAACUAGAUGUAGGGCCUGUUCCACGGGUUCUGUGUCGUAGCUAACGCAUUAAGUUCCCCGCCUGGGGAGUACGGCCGCAAGGCUAAAACUCAAAGGAAUUGACGGGGGCCCGCACAAGCGGCGGAGCAUGCGGAUUAAUUCGAUGCAACGCGAAGAACCUUACCAAGGCUUGACAUAUAGAAGAACACUGCAGAGAUGCAGGACUCUUUGGACACUUCUAUACAGGUGGUGCAUGGUUGUCGUCAGCUCGUGUCGUGAGAUGUUCGGUUAAGUCCGGCAACGAGCGCAACCCUCGUCCUAUGUUGCCAGCACGUAAUGGUGGGAACUCAUGGGAUACUGCCGUGGUCAACACGGAGGAAGGUGGGGAUGACGUCAAAUCAUCAUGCCCCUUAUGUCUUGGGCUUCACGCAUGCUACAAUGGCCGGUACAAAGGGCUGCGAUACCGCAAGGUGAGCGAAUCCCAAAAAGCCGGUCUCAGUUCGGAUUGGGGUC
This 529-nucleotide ribosomal RNA is filed under the name uncultured bacterium. RNAcentral's name for it is "bacterial SSU rRNA". It matches the Rfam family "Bacterial small subunit ribosomal RNA", at positions 777 to 1305 of the family's 1533-position model. The record is from RNAcentral.